CCUACCCCCUCCCUCCCCUCCCCUCAGCACUGUGCUCAUUUGUAUAUAUUUUUAUUACCCUAUUCAUUUUGUUAAUGAGGUGUACAUCCCCUUGAUUCUAUUUAUCGUGAUUAUGUUGUCUUGUUUUUGUCUGUUUCUCUCCCCCGAUUAGACUGUAAGCCCGUCAUUGGGCAGGGAUUGUCUCUAUCUGUUGCCAAAUUGUACAUUCCAAGCGCUUAGUACAGUGCUCUGCACACAGUAAGCACUCAAUAAAUACGAAUGAAUGAAUGAAUGAAUGAAUGAAUGAAUGAAUGAAUGAAUGAAUGAAACAAACUCAGGUGCAUUCCUCUCUCAACAGAUAUGGAGCUUCAUUCACGAACUACUGCACCACAUCAUUUGGGAGCCCCCCUCAAGAAGACUCUAUUGGUGACAUUUUGGAAUUAGAGCGACAAGGUGGGGAAGACAUCAGUGGAGCACUUCCUGUUGAAAGAACACUGAAUUGAGCGCUGGGAAAGCACUCCUGGCUGGGAAUCAGACCCGAUCAUUGCCCCUUGGGGUCUUCCGGUCUAACAGUUUCAGCGAGGGAGAGGCCUGGGCUAGACACAUGGGGAGUGACGAAAUGAUAAAGCACAACCCAAGGUGAGCCUUGGCGGGGACUGAUACAACAUGGGGAGGGAGAAAAGAGACAGGGAGCGAGGGGCCACCGCCCGUCCCCCCGAUGGUAGGUUUUCCCACCAGUCUGUUUCUUUCUAGAGUUCCCAUGGUGGAGUACGACUGGCAGAAAUUACACAAGUACCAGCAGAGAAGGCGGGCAUACAUCGUAAUCGAUGGGACUCUCCAAAAUUUACACCAAAUACUAGAGGAGGAGGAGAAGAAGAAGAUGAAAGAGAAGAAGGAAGAUGAGAAGAAGGAGAAGACGGAGGAGGAGAGGGAAGAUAAGAAGGAGGAGGAGGAAGACAAGAAGGAAGAGAAGACAGAGCAAAAGGAAGACAUGAAGGAGGAGAAGAUGGAGGAGAAGGAGGAAGACAAGAAGGAAGAGGAGGAGGAGAAGAUGGAAGAGGGGGAGAAAUAUGAAGGGCCCCAGCACUUUCUGUCCCCAGAGCCCGCCACAGAUGGUGAUGUUCUGCGGGCUGGGGACUCUGUUCCCAAAGCCCAGAAAAAUUUGGCCCGAGGCAAGAAAAGCCUCCAGAGAAAAGAGGAAAAGGGGAGGCUGGGCUGUAUGGCCCGUGUCCAGAGGUGGGUGAGGAAUUCCCUGCGGAGGAGUACCAGGGUGGAACCCUAGGGCGAUUCUCAUUUGACAGGAAGGAUCGACUGAAACCGAGUGUCUUUGUGGAGAUGUGUAUUGUAUGGGAGUGGGGAAGAAUUUAUAACGAAAUUUGCGUAGCUCCACAGCUUGAGAGUGUGGUUGGAGCUACCACUUUAGAAGCUUAAAAGGGAGAAUUUCUUUGUGUGAAGGCUCUUCCUUCGAACCGUGAUUAGCUCACUUUAUUGUGAAGUAUGGAUCUCAUGAAGGGAAAAGUGAGUUCUCAAUUGGUUAAGCAUGAAAAUGCAAAGCAGGUGAUAGUUUAGCCUAUAGGGUGGUUAUUUCAAAUACUGUCAGAGAUUCUACUGUGUUAACUGUAGAUUUUACUAAUUUGGUUAAGGGAUAUAUAGAUAAGUUGAAUAACAACUUUAAUCUUUAUAUCUGGCCAGAUGGCCUGAGUAAAGAAAUUUAUCUUGUUUUGUUGUUCAGUGUGGAACUAACAAUGUGUAAGGAAAAAAAGGAAUGUAAAGAAAACAUAUAUGUUCCCUUCUUUCAUCAAUUUGAAUAAAUGGGUAAAUGGAAAUUUG
This 1809-nucleotide long non-coding RNA is filed under the name Ornithorhynchus anatinus (platypus). RNAcentral's name for it is "lncRNA (ENSOANG00000048235.1)". The record is from RNAcentral. Lineage: Eukaryota; Metazoa; Chordata; Mammalia; Monotremata; Ornithorhynchidae.